CAGAGUAGAAUAAUGAGCGUAAAGAACCGAAUUUAUUUUCGGUCAAGUGUCCGCAGGACGGGGAGUUGUCUGCGGAACGAAAAACGUUUAUACGUUUGCGGUUCAUUAUUCGCAUCCCGCUG
RNAcentral lists this non-coding RNA (122 nucleotides) under pig gut metagenome. RNAcentral's name for it is "THF riboswitch". It matches the Rfam family "THF (Tetrahydrofolate) riboswitch aptamer". Rfam says of the family: THF riboswitch presents a pseudoknot that joins P1-P2 and the loop of P3 and two THF binding. The record is from RNAcentral.